GGAGCCAACCUUGAAAUACCAGCCUGACAUGUUUGAGGUUCUAACUUGGUCCCCUUAUCGGGGAUGAGGACACUGUGUGGUGGGUAGUUUGACUGGGGCGGUCGCCUCCCAAACGGUAACGGAGGCGUACAAAGGUUUCCUCUGAACGGGUAGAAAUCGUAUCUAGAGUGUAAAGGCAUAAGGAAGCUUGACUGUGAGACCUACAAGUCGAACAGGGACGAAAGUCGGUCUUAGUGAUCUGACGGUUCCGAGUGGAAGGGCCGUCACUCAACGGAUAAAAGUUACUCUAGGGAUAACAGGCUGAUCUCCCCCAAGAGUUCACAUCGACGGGGAGGUUUGGCACCUCGAUGUCGGCUCAUCACAUCCUGGGGCUGAAGCCGGUCCCAAGGGUAUGGCUGUUCGCCAUUUAAAGUGGUACGCGAGCUGGGUUUAGAACGUCGUGAGACAGUUCGGUCCCUAUCUGCCGUGGACGUUGGAGAUUUGAGGAAAGCUGCUCCUAGUACGAGAGGACCGGAGUGGACGAACCUCUGGUGUUCGGGUUGUGACGCCAGUCGCAUUGCCCGGUAGCUAUGUUCGGACAGGAUAACCGCUGAAAGCAUCUAAGCGGGAAGCCCCUUCCAAGAUGAGAUCUCCCUGGACCCUCGAGGUCCCUGAAGAGCCGUUCAAGACCAGGACGUUGAUAGGUCGGGUGUGUAAGCGCUGCGAGGCGUUGAGCUAACCGAUACUAAUUGCUCGUGCGGCUUGAC
Molecule: ribosomal RNA, 746 nt
Filed under: Rhizochromulina marina
Lineage: Eukaryota; Dictyochophyceae; Rhizochromulinales
Description: partial Bacterial large subunit ribosomal RNA
Rfam family: Bacterial large subunit ribosomal RNA
Source: RNAcentral